UGGCCUCCAUAAUUUGAAUUAUUGUCUUUAUGCCAGGUGGAGGACCUUUGCAAUCUUCUCAAGCUUUAUGCUAACUGGUACUCUUACUUGAUCCCAUAUUACUCCUUCGAACAAUUUGUGUGCAAAGUUGAGGAAGUUGGGGCCAGUAAUCAUGUUAGAAUAAACCUCUUUCUUCCUUUAAGGGUUUGUCCAUACUAUGAGGGAUCGACCUUCAAAGGUCAGCUACCGUCUCCAUUUUCCUUGGGUCCCAAAUUGAAGUGUUUGUCCCUCUUCAUUUGUUAUUAG
This 285-nucleotide ribosomal RNA is filed under the name Triticum aestivum (bread wheat). Its description in RNAcentral is "partial small subunit ribosomal RNA". Lineage: Eukaryota; Viridiplantae; Streptophyta; Magnoliopsida; Poales; Poaceae. The record is from RNAcentral.